UACGUAGGGUGCAAGCGUUGUCCGGAAUUAUUGGGCGUAAAGAGCUUGUAGGCGGUUUGUCGCGUCUGCUGUGAAAUUUCGGGGCUUAACCCCGAACUUGCAGUGGGUACGGGCAGACUAGAGUGUGGUAGGGGAGACUGGAAUUCCUGGUGUAGCGGUGAAAUGCGCAGAUAUCAGGAGGAACACCGAUGGCGAAGGCAGGUCUCUGGGCCAUAACUGACGCUGAGAAGCGAAAGCAUGGGGAGCGAACAGG
Molecule: ribosomal RNA, 253 nt
Filed under: uncultured bacterium
Lineage: Bacteria
Description: partial 16S ribosomal RNA
Rfam family: Bacterial small subunit ribosomal RNA
Source: RNAcentral